This 100-nucleotide transfer RNA is filed under the name Chloroflexota bacterium. Its description in RNAcentral is "Chloroflexi bacterium tRNA-Sec". It matches the Rfam family "Selenocysteine transfer RNA". The record is from RNAcentral. Lineage: Bacteria; Bacillati; Chloroflexota. RNAcentral also lists the same sequence under 1 other name.
GGGGAUGUUCGGGGGCUGGUGCCUCUCGCAGUCUUCAAAACUGUCUGGGGGGCGGUGCUGAGCCGUCCCCGGUGGGUUCGAUUCCCAUCCAUCCCCGCCA